This 580-nucleotide long non-coding RNA is filed under the name Gallus gallus (chicken). RNAcentral's name for it is "lncRNA (ENSGALG00010008961.1)". Lineage: Eukaryota; Metazoa; Chordata; Aves; Galliformes; Phasianidae. The record is from RNAcentral.
CGCAAUAGGAAAACACUGUAGAAAAUGUUCAGCACUCUGUAUAUAGCUCUUCUUCCGUGCUGAAGUUCUUCCUACCAGUGUGUUUUUUGCCCAGAAAUCAGCACUUACACUAAGAUGUCAGUAAACUUACUAAAUUCCUGAGAAAUUCUCUUCGAGUCAAACUCCGCCAUUUGUUACUUGCUCACACAUUACACGAUUGACCUCUUACCAUGAGUGAGGACUGCUCUGGCCAGAAAGGGAAUCAGAAGAGUCCUGGUACAAAAAAAAGUCCAUCUAGAGCUUAGCAAAUGACUCACUGCACUGAAGAUGCUUUGGCUCUCAGCUCUGAGGAGGCCGAGCUCUUCUGCUGAGAAGUAGCUGCAAUUAUGAAGUUAAUGGAGUAGUCAAAUACUACAACGUUGAAUGUACCCAAGAACCUGCAAACCUAUGCUGUCUGCCUAAGCAAUCUGCAUUAUGUGCUGGCAGCUAUGGCUCCUGUGGAAUUUAUGUUCUGAGCACUGAGGAAGAGCAUCUCCCCCUGAAGUCAUCUAGCACUGAUUUCACAUUCUGGCUAUCCUGUAUUUGCUGUAAUUGGAAAAAU